AUAGGAGUGAGCCUGCUCGCGAUGGCGUCAGUUCAGUCGGCAUCCUCUUUGACUGUCAUACCGCUAUCGCGAGCAGGCUCACUCCUAC
RNAcentral lists this unclassified non-coding RNA (88 nucleotides) under Pseudomonas granadensis. The record is from RNAcentral. Lineage: Bacteria; Pseudomonadati; Pseudomonadota; Gammaproteobacteria; Pseudomonadales; Pseudomonadaceae.